UACGGGGGGGGCAAGCGUUGUUCGGAAUUACUGGGCGUAAAGGGCUCGUAGGCGGCCAACUAAGUCGGAUGUGAAAUCCCCAGGCUCAACCUGGGAACUGCCCUCCAAACUGUUUGACUUGAGUCCGGGAGAGGUGAGUGGAAUUCCCAGUGUAGCGGUGAAAUGCGUAGAUAUUGGGAGGAACACCAGUGGCGAAGGCGGCUCACUGGACCGGAACUGACGCUGAGGCGCGAAAGCGUGGGGAGCAAACAGG
RNAcentral lists this ribosomal RNA (253 nucleotides) under uncultured bacterium. RNAcentral describes it as "partial 16S ribosomal RNA". It matches the Rfam family "Bacterial small subunit ribosomal RNA", at positions 524 to 776 of the family's 1533-position model. The record is from RNAcentral.